This 84-nucleotide transfer RNA is filed under the name Clostridium sp. RNAcentral's name for it is "tRNA-Leu". It matches the Rfam family "tRNA". Rfam says of the family: Transfer RNA (tRNA) molecules are approximately 80 nucleotides in length. Their secondary structure includes four short double-helical elements and three loops (D, anti-codon, and T loops). The record is from RNAcentral. Lineage: Bacteria; Bacillati; Bacillota; Clostridia; Eubacteriales; Clostridiaceae. RNAcentral also lists the same sequence under 4 other names.
GCAGAAGUGGCGGAAUUGGCAGACGCGCACGGUUCAGGUCCGUGUGGUAGCGAUACCGUGAGAGUUCGAGUCUCUUCUUCUGCA